RNAcentral lists this long non-coding RNA (442 nucleotides) under Brassica napus (rape). RNAcentral describes it as "long non-coding RNA (BNAP_LNC016459)". The record is from RNAcentral. Lineage: Eukaryota; Viridiplantae; Streptophyta; Magnoliopsida; Brassicales; Brassicaceae.
AAAUCCAUCUGUGCAUAAUCCGAGAUACACAUUCCGGAUAUUGCUAGCGAAAUCUGGAUGUACUUUGUUGAAAUGUUUCCAGGCUCUUGCAUCUGAUGGGUGAGUCAUCUCACCAUCCGUCUGAGUAUGCCCGGCAUGCCAUCUCAUCUUUCCAGCAGUCUACUCUGAUUGAUACAAUCUUUUCAAUCUGUCUGUAAUUGGUAGGUACCACAUCCUUUGGUACGGUACCCUAUUACGUCCCCGUCCUUGCAGCUUGAAUCGUGGCUUCUUGCAGAAUCGACAUUCUUCUAGCUUCUCAUCAUCUCCCCAAUAGAUCAUGCAGUUGUCGAUGCAAACAUCUAUCAUCUCCGAAGGAAACCCAAGACUAUAAACCAGUUUCUGAAUCUCAUAAUAAGAAUCAGCAGACACAUUGUCUUCCGGAAAAUACUCUUUAAACAAGUCC